Long non-coding RNA from Notothenia coriiceps (black rockcod), 100 nucleotides. RefSeq lists it as uncharacterized. NCBI's taxonomy places the organism in Eukaryota, Metazoa, Chordata, Actinopteri, Perciformes, Nototheniidae. The transcript has 3 exons. The record is from RefSeq and is a predicted model, not a curated record.
GUUGGCUGUGGAGACCGAGUUCCCCCACCUCGCCAAAAAGGCUGCAAAAGUGCUCAUUCCCUUCGCCUCCGCCUACCUGUGUGAGUGCUCAUUCUGUUCC